RNAcentral lists this ribosomal RNA (390 nucleotides) under Isichthys henryi. RNAcentral describes it as "partial 12S ribosomal RNA". It matches the Rfam family "Bacterial small subunit ribosomal RNA", at positions 794 to 1384 of the family's 1533-position model. The record is from RNAcentral. Lineage: Eukaryota; Metazoa; Chordata; Actinopteri; Osteoglossiformes; Mormyridae.
GCCCAACCAUAAACCUUGAUGAUAAAAUACAAAUAUCAUUCGCCAGGGAACUACAAGCGCAUCGCUCGAAACCCAACGGACUUGGCGGUGCCCCACACCCACCUAGAGGAGCCUGUUCUAUAACUGACAAUCCCCAUUCAACCUCACCACCCCUAGCCUCCCCAGUCUAUAUACCACCGUCGUAAGCUCACCCUGUGAAGGACUAACAGUAAGCAAGAUGGGCACAACCCAAAACGUCAGGUCGAGGUGUAGCACAUGGGGUGGGAAGAAAUGGGCUACAUUUUCUGCCCACAGAAUAUCACGGACAACGUUAUGAAACCGCCGUUCAAAGGAGGAUUUAGCAGUAAAAAGAAAACAGAGAGUUCUUUUGAAGCCGGCCCUGGGGCGCGC